Molecule: ribosomal RNA, 250 nt
Filed under: uncultured Methanothermobacter sp.
Lineage: Archaea; Methanobacteriati; Methanobacteriota; Methanobacteria; Methanobacteriales; Methanobacteriaceae
Description: partial 16S ribosomal RNA
Rfam family: Archaeal small subunit ribosomal RNA
Source: RNAcentral
CACCGGCAGCUCAAGUGGUAGCCGCUUUUAUUGGGCCUAAAGCGUCCGUAGCCGGUCUGAUAAGUCUCUGGUGAAAUCCCACAGCUUAACUGUGGGAAUUGCUGGAGAUACUAUCAUGACUCGAGGUCGGGAGAGGCUGGAGGUACUCCCAGGGUAGGGGUGAAAUCCUGUAAUCCUGGGAGGACCACCUGUGGCGAAGGCGUCCAGCUGGAACGAACCUGACGUUGAGGGACGAAGGCUCAGAGAGUGA